AACGAACGCUGGCGGCAUGCCUAACACAUGCAAGUCGAACGAGACCUUCGGGUCUAGUGGCGCACGGGUGCGUAACGCGUGGGAACCUGCCCUUAGGUUCGGAAUAACUCCCCGAAAGGGGUGCUAAUACCAGAUAAUGUCUUCGGACCAAAGAUUUAUCGCCUUUGGAUGGGCCCGCGUUGGAUUAGCUAGUUGGUAGGGUAAAAGCCUACCAAGGCGACGAUCCAUAGCUGGUCUGAGAGGAUGAUCAGCCACACUGGGACUGAGACACGGCCUAGACUCCUACGGGAGGCAGCAGUGGGGAAUAUUGGACAAUGGGCGAAAGCCUGAUCCAGCAAUGCCGCGUGAGUGAUGAAGGCCUUAGGGUUGUAAAGCUCUUUUACCCGGGAAGAUAAUGACAGUACCGGGAGAAUAAGCUCCGGCUAACUCCGUG
This 433-nucleotide ribosomal RNA is filed under the name uncultured bacterium. Its description in RNAcentral is "partial 16S ribosomal RNA". It matches the Rfam family "Bacterial small subunit ribosomal RNA", at positions 29 to 507 of the family's 1533-position model. The record is from RNAcentral.